Molecule: long non-coding RNA, 1243 nt
Organism: Hibiscus syriacus
Lineage: Eukaryota; Viridiplantae; Streptophyta; Magnoliopsida; Malvales; Malvaceae
Exons: 8
Source: RefSeq, a predicted model, not a curated record
UCAUUUAGUCUUAUGAGCUCAAGCAUGGCGAUUUGGGCUUCAAUUAUCAAAAAUUAGGGCUCCGUUGUGCUAAUCGAUCGAAUGGGCGUUCCAUCCAUAGAAAGAUGGUUAGGGUUUUUGAAGGCAUGAAGGGGACUUUAUCGAACCAAGGUGAUUCUCCGUCACUUACCACCGUCCAUCACGGAGUCCAUGCUUGUCGAACAAGUCGAUUGUGCCUUUUUUGGCCGUUACAGUUGGCUCUCCUUCGUCCGGGAAGAGUAGUCAGAAGAAUCUUUCUUAAUCUAGAGCGUAUGUGGACUUCAAGAGGCCAGAGGAUGUUUUGGAGUUUGCGGAGUUCUUAAUGGUCAUGUGUUGUUAAUGAGAAGGGGGCUCAGUGUAAAGUAGUUGUUGAGUAUGCACCUUCUCAACAUGUUCCAAGGAAGUGGUCUAAAAGGGAUGGUCGUGAAGUUACCAUAUCCAAAGAUCCUGAGUAUUUGGAGCUCCUUGAAUUUCUUGGAAAGCCAGCUGAGAAUCUUCCUAGUGUAGAGAUACAGUUAGAGAGAAGGGAGGCAGAAAGAGCUGGUGUAUCAAAGGAUACUCCAAUAAUUACACCUUUAAUGGAUUUUGUUAGACAAAAAAGAGCUGCUAAGGGCGCCUCUCUGAGGUCACUGUCUAAUGGGAAACUGAGCAAAAGAGCUGGUCGGUUAUCUGUUGGAACACUUCUUUGAGUAUAGUUGAAGGUUUAAGCCCUUUGCCAGGUAAUGCCUUGAAUGUUCACCUUGAAUUUGUUUGGGUGGUUGCCAAGUUAACUCAAGACUCAAAAUGUGCAUUAAAUUUGUGCUAACUUAUUUGAACUAGGAAAGUGUUUAUUCACUUGAAUUUUGAGCAUGCAGUUGAAUAUGCAUUCGCUUAGCAUGAUGUCUCGGCAACAAAGUAGAGAAAAGGUUCGUUGACCUAUAGAGGUUGCAGAUAUGAUUGUAAGUAAUAAUCUGGUGAAGAAACCCUGGUUUUAAUAAUUGGUGGAUUGAAGAAACCUUGAUCUUAGUCAAAGAUGGCUGAGAAAUAUGAAGUUAUCAUUCUGUAAUCGCAUGGAACCAUUGUUUUUUCCGGUCGCUGCAGGCCUUUGCAGAUAUUGUUCAGUUGAGGUAUUAUGAAUCCAUUAACUCAACUGGAACUAUAAAUAUAAAUGCAGUGCUGUGUGUACGGUGUGGGUUGUUUCUUUUCCUUUUAAAUUAUAAAUGGGUUAUUAUGAAGAAGAGAAGAG